UACGUAGGGGGCAAGCGUUGUCCGGAUUUAUUGGGCGUAAAGAGCGUGUAGGCGGUUCGGUAGGUCCGUUGUGAAAACUCGAGGCUCAACCUCGAGACGCCGAUGGAAACCCCCGAACUAGAGUCCGGAAGAGGAGAAUGGAAUUCCUGGUGUAGCGGUGAAAUGCGCAGAUAUCAGGAAGAACACCCGUGGCUAAGGCGGCCAUCUGGACGAGUACUGACGCUGAGACGCGAAAGCGUGGGGAGCAAACAGG
RNAcentral lists this ribosomal RNA (253 nucleotides) under uncultured bacterium. Its description in RNAcentral is "partial 16S ribosomal RNA". It matches the Rfam family "Bacterial small subunit ribosomal RNA", at positions 524 to 776 of the family's 1533-position model. The record is from RNAcentral.